GACGAACGCUGGCGGCGUGCUUAACACAUGCAAGUCGAACGGAAAGGCCCUGCUUUUGUGGGGUGCUCGAGUGGCGAACGGGUGAGUAACACGUGAGUAACCUGCCCUUGACUUUGGGAUAACUUCAGGAAACUGGGGCUAAUACCGGAUAGGAGCUCCUGCUGCAUGGUGGGGGUUGGAAAGUUUCGGCGGGUGGGGAUGGACUCGCGGCUUAUCGGCUUGUUGGUGGGGUAGUGGCUUACCAAGGCUUUGACGGGUAGCCGGCCUGAGCGGGUGACCGGCCACAUUGGGACUGAGAUACGGCCCAGACUCCUACGGGAGGCAGCAGUGGGGAAUAUUGCACAAUGGGCGGAAGCCUGAUGCAGCAACGCCGCGUGCGGGAUGACGGCCUUCGGGUUGUAAACCGCUUUCGCCUGUGACGAAGCGUGAGUGACGGUAAUGGGUAAAGAAGCACCGGCUAACUACGUG
This 468-nucleotide ribosomal RNA is filed under the name uncultured bacterium. RNAcentral describes it as "partial 16S ribosomal RNA". It matches the Rfam family "Bacterial small subunit ribosomal RNA", at positions 28 to 507 of the family's 1533-position model. The record is from RNAcentral.